This is a long non-coding RNA of Oreochromis aureus, 4067 nucleotides long. The record is from Ensembl. Lineage: Eukaryota; Metazoa; Chordata; Actinopteri; Cichliformes; Cichlidae.
UAGAGAGGAAGCAGGAAAUGCAGAGAACAGUGGGAAAGCAUGGCUACACCUGUGUAAUCAUUCAUGUGGAAUCCAAAGCAAUCCUUCAAAGGAGUCCUUCAGAAAGCAGUAGUCAGCAUAAAGUCAUCACAGCUGACUCUGGACAGGAUGUCACUGUGCCAUGUCAAGCUCCAAACGACAACAACAACUUAGUUGUCGUUUGGGACAGAGCUGAACUGAAGUCAGAAUAUGUCCUUUUAUACCAGGAUGAGUUGAUUGUUCCAGACAACCAGCAUCCAUCUUUUGUGAAUCGGACAGAUCUGCAGGACAGACAGAUGAAGGAUGGAGACGUGUCUUUGAUUCUGAAGGAUGUGAAUACUGAUGACACUGGAAUGUACGAGUGUUAUGUCAUCCGGGGAUUCAGAAAACAUACGAUUCUUAUCGGCAAAAUCUACCUUUAUGUUGUUCCUCCAGGUCACACAGGAGGAGACACAGAGGAUGGAUCUCUUAGACUGAUCCUUCACCUGUCAGUUCCUGCUGUGGUUCUGGUGUUAAUUAUCCUUAAACUACAGAAACAUUGUGUGAUAUUUUGGAAGCUGUGAUCCAUUCUUGCACGGGGUGGGGGCCAAUGUUCCCUCUAAGCUGCACACGUGCGCAAUUGCGCACUGCUGGCACGGUCUCUGCGCACAAAAAAUCUGCGUUGCGCACAAAAAAAAUCUAACCUGAACUGAAAUUAAAAUUAAUACUUUAACAAUUCUGUUUUGCAGUGUUAGUCAGUGAGUGACUGGCUGCUCCCGUAUGGGAUUAGAAUGAUGCCACCUUAUCCAACAGUCCAGCCAAUAACGCGAUUCACAUUCGUAUAUACGCAGCCAACCAACGUCACUGACAGGCUAUGACAGCGUCCUUAUGUGCCGACACCGGUGUUUUAGCUGGCAAAGCGGUGUGGCUGAUGUGAAGUUAAUGACAAUGUGUACAACCAUUGGAGAGGUGAGAAGGACAGAUGGAAAAAUUGAAAAAGGGAAACGUGUGGACUUUAUACCAGUUUUUUAAAUUGUGCUGAUAGGGCACGUAAAACCAGAGUUGAUAAAAAUAUCUUCAAUGUUUGGUUUUCUUCCUGAAUGCGAUCGUUGUUUAUAUUUACUGCGGGAAGAAACGGUAAAAAUGCCGUUUUAUAAGGAAAAAUGCUCAAAAGCGCUCUCCACCUGUGAGCAAAAACAAACCCCACCCCCCUGUCCCUUUCCUAUUCCUCCAAAAAAGUACCAUGUCGACCAAUCAAAAAAUGAUAUGGCAACGCGGCAUCUAGUUGUUAAGAAACGGGGGGGAGAGUUUUAGGAGUGACGGCAGUGUUUUGAGAUGUGAGAGAUUUGAGACGUUUAGUGCAAAUCUUGUGUAGUUAGUGUGUAGUGUAGUCAAUAGUUUUGUUGUGUGUGUCAGAACAAUGAGGCGACUGCUGAAUGUUACAGGUGUUACAGCAGUGAUACAUCUCCUGCUGUGUGGCCUGCAGAUAUCAGGCUGUUGUUCUCCUUUAUCUCAUAGUGGACAGAAAUAAUUUUUGGAGAGGCACAAAUAAUUUUUGUGGCAUCAGAUUUGAUGCAGAACAGCUGAUUGUUCUGUAAAUAGUUUGAAAUGUUUAUUUAAAAAACGCCUUGGCUGCAUUUAAAAAAAUAGCUGCAAAAACUUUGUUGUUUGCCAAACUCAGUUACUUUUUUGAAGAAGUAACUAUAUAAUUAAUUGCCCGACUGUUACGUCCCUCUGCAUCCCCUAAUCUCCUCAAUGUUUUCAGCUGGUGCUAAUUGGCCACACCUAGUCAGGUGUGGAUAAAAGCAUACCUGAGGCAAGCUUCCCAGGGAGCUCACUUGUCUUUGCCUUGGUGGCACCAGCCAUUUUAGCGAACCUGUUGUGCCAUUUUAAGUUAAAAGCCUCUUCUCAUCUACACUCUAUUCGUCUCCUUUUUUUAUGUUGCGGCUUUUGAGCCGGGGCGUAACAUAAGUGGGGGCUCAUCCGGGAUUGUUUGGAUGUUUCUUGGGGACUGAAUAUCAGGUUUUUUGUAUUUCUUUAAGUGGGUGAGUGAAGGUGUUCACUGUGAUUGAGCAACGUCCCUUUAGUUAGUGUGUUUCAGCUGGGUGGCUGUGCUGCCCUUCCAUCGAAGCACUUGUUUGUUGUUUUGCUUUGUUGUUUUAGUUUUUUGUGUUUGGUGGUUAUCCUGGGUGGGGUUACGCUUCAGGGUUUGGUGGGAGACUGUACCCCUGGUCUGCUGCCUACCCUUGAGUUUGCGUUUAAAGAUGCCUCGAGCCCGGUACACCAAUGAAGACUAGACAGGUAAAGUUUUAUUGGGUUUUUUUAGCGUUUUAGGCUGGGAGUUGCUCAAAGUGAAUUAGUGGCACCAAACUUGGCAGGAGGUUAAGACAUGGUCUUGUAGCUGAGGCGGGUAGGUUGUUUUUAAGUUGGCAUAGUGUGUACACUGUGUGUGAAUAUGUCAGUGUUGAUGGAUGCUAAUAAGAUCCUUGUGAGGUGAGUGUUUUGUGCUGUGACCUUUAGUGUUGUGGGGAAUAUGACUACACAGGUCAAUGACUAGAUUUUUUAAAAAUUUCAUUGUAAGUGGGCUAAAGCAGUUAUUUAAAAGUAGUCCAACAUAAAUGUAAAUGUUGUAAUAAACCAUGUAACUUGGAUGGAUUAGAUGCUGGCGUGACCACAGUGCACACGUCUGAUGUUGCUCACAGUGGUCCAAGGGAUCGCUCAGGGAGUUUGUGUGUUCGCUCAGACACAUGAAAAAUUAGAGGGAACAUUGGUGGGGGCUGAUCAGGCAGAUUUUAUUCACUGUAAGUACAAAUGUAAUAUAAAAUCAUAUACUGGAUAUCAUAUGUAUACCAUGUGAUAUCACAUGUCAAACACCUCUGUCUACAUAGAUAGACAGAGGUGUUUGAAUAUAAUACCAAAGGAAACUCCUUUUGUCUUUUGCUUUUCUUUGAAGUGUGUUAAAACUCUCUUUUUUAAGUGUUGUCUAGGGAAAGGGAAUGAGCUGCCUAGUGCAUUAGAAACAUACUGCCAUAGAAAGGUUUUACAAGGCUGUAUCUAUUAAACACCAAAUUGUGUAAAUUAUGUUCUAGAGGGUGUUUUUUAUUAUCUAUGUGGAUCUCUUAGGAUAUAUUUUUCAUACUCAACUCUUGGUUGUGUAUAUUUUCUCUCUCUCUCUGAGCCUAGGCUUGGUUGAGCAGAAAAGGCUCCACCUUUGGGUCGAGCCAAAAUCCUCUGCUCUUGGUCCAUGCACUUGUUGCUAGGGCUGCACGAUUAAUCGUUGGAAAAUCGCGAUCUCGAUUCAUACUUAUGUGCGAUCUUAUUUCCAAAUGACAACGAUUAAAAAAAAAAGAAAAAAAAAAAGACGACGACGAUUGUACCGCAUUUUGAUCCGGGACGUAAUCUGCAUGAAAACAAGCGCUCCCUCUUCCUGCUCAACAAAUGACAAGGGCGGAGCCUUAUACCACGUGAUACAGAAGCUGUGCCGUGAUGCUCAAAUUGGCAGGGAAAAACAACGGAGAACACGUCAGGGAUGACGAGAAAGUGACAGGAGAAAAUCGGUCCCGGUCAACCACCCAAACAUCAAUAACGGGAACCUUAUACAGCGCUUCCCUAUACACGUUGAACUCCCGCAGGCACAAAGAAAUUACGGAGGCUAUUACUUAUCACCUGACCAAAGAUAUAUCAACACUGUGCAAAACGAGGGAUUUAGGAAAAUGAUCAACACCCUAGACAAACGCUACACAGUGCCGUCCCGCAACUAUUUUUCUGUUGUUGCACUACCUGCUCUAUACACGCAGUGUCGAGCAACGGUGGAGACGGAAUUUCAAGCAGUACAACAUUUUGCGGCAACCACAAAAUGUGAGGCAUUUAUUGUUUUUAUGUUUAUUUAUUGUUUUAUGUUCAGUUUCAACUGUUACGAAGUUGAUGUGCAGUUAAUAAGUGCAAUAAAUAUUUAUAUUGGAAAAGAAAAUCGUGAGAGAAUCGUGAUCUCAAUUCUAAGCAAAAAAAUCGUGAUUCUCAUUUUAUGCAAAAUCGUGCAGCCCUACUUGUUGCUCAUUCACUUAACCAUG